UAAAGGGUGAGUGUGGUUCUCAAAGGUGGGAAAAACUAACAAUUCUUGAAGAGGACUCAAGGUUUAUUGGACCACCAAAUACUGGAGUUGAUGCUGAAGUCUAUAACAAUGGUAACAAUACUCAGGGUGUAUCCAUUGUGGGCCCAGCCAAUGGAUACUCUGGGGAGUAUUGAGGGGAGGGGUGUUGAGUCCUUCUACACAGGCUCAGAAAGAAAGGUUCUUAUCAUCCACUUAGAAACAAUGGAAGCAAAGUAACUCUCUGGGACAGAAACUUUGUCGGUCAGGGAGAGGCUUGAAGGAGACUCUAAAUGGUUCCCAGAAUGAAUUCCCACGUAAACCUAAAGAAUGCUGAUGGAGAGAAGCCACUGCUCAUUCUUCUUUUUAAGCCAAAUAAUAUCCUUCUGCCGGAACAAAGUUGUUCUUGGCACUUGGAAGUAAAUGUGAGGAGGGAAUCAAAACACAACGCCUGAGAGACAAAUCCAUAAGAAAUCUGAAGGCCAGGACGUGGUGAAAAGUAAUAAAGAUAGAAGGGUCAGUGGCAGGAACAAAGAUUAACUGUACCAGAGGAGAUGGCGCUUUGGCUCUGAAAAUAGGAUUGAGCGAAAGCCGGAAGUGCUGCAGAGACGCACGUGUCCUUCGUUUCCACCCUGAAGGCUCAAAGGAAGGCCGCUGCCCAGCCACGCGGAGGCUGCAGGACAGGGUUCUGGAAGCUGGGGCCUCCUUGCCCUAAUCCUGGAAGGAUAUUCCACAUCUAAAUCACCGAAGCUUCAUCCUGUGAUGCAGAAGCUCUCCCCUUGUGAACAACCAACACAGGAAGUAGUGAAACCUGGUAGAGAGAAUAUUAUCUUUCUCCACCUUCAAUUAUACCAGAACUGCCUCCAGGGACUUUGGCAGGUUUGACAAAUGGCAGAAGAAUUUAGAAGAUUUUCUUUGCUGGCAAAGGGAGCCAAUGGUUGGGCACAAAUGUGCUGCUGCGGUUGUUUGUACAAUGAAACUCUAGAUUGUAGGCAGAAAUGUCAGGUUCCUUUCAACUCUCUUCAGAGCUAAUCUAGUUCCCAUGUGCAAACUCAAUCUAUAGCAUUUGGGUAAAGAAUACUCAGUCCUCUGCUGUGACAAGAACAAAUUCAUCACCCACACCAUACAUUGUAGCUAAGGGCAUCAUCGUGCCCACAUGAAUCACCAGGCAGAGACGGCUGCCAACUCUGAAAUUCUUUACUCAUGGAAGACUCACGUAUACUAAUGCCGACUAUUUACGCAAGCACAUUUCUCCAGGUGGCCUGGAGCAGUUUACAAGAUGCUGGCUCAUUCCUCAUCAUGCCACUUGGAAGGAGAGCAAAAGGUGGGGAAAGAGGAAGGGCCAACAUCAUCAUCUGCAUUUUAUGUGGGGAAACUGAGGCUCACAUAAGCCGUAAAGUGAAAUGUAUAGACAUUUAUGAGUCAGAAAUCGACCAUGGAAGAGGCAAAAUGAGCUUAUCUGAAUCAUGAGUGGACUAUUUCUUGCCCAACAAUUUCAUGCAGCUCUUCCAACACAACUGUUUUGAUACAGCAGCCUCAAAACAAGCCAAAAUUCAGACUCGCUGUAUUUGGUUUAUAACCAGUUUCCCAUCUUUCAUUCCUUCUCUGACUUCUACCUGACUUCUGAAUUUGGUUGACCCUGUUUUUUUGUUUGUUUGUUUGUUUUGUUUUACUUUAAAAGACCCUCAACCCUCCUGGAGUCCUGACCUGCUAUUUCUUUCAUUUUGAACCUCUACCAGUCCUUUCCUUCAUCUGUUACCAAUCCAUACACCCUUGAUGCCUGGAGGUAAGAUUGACAAUGGAGGGGGGGAGGUGAAGAUCAAGGUUGAGGUGAAGCUCACAGAUGGCCUGCAAGAUGCCUAUUUUACUCAUCAUUUAUUUUUUAAAAAGCUGAACAUUUAUCGGCUGAAUCUUUGAGCCAUACCAAAAUAUCCUCAUGUCAAAAUAGCUGCAGUAAAGUGGUUCUAUUAAAAUAGCUGCCUCCAAAGAACUGAGAGUGGAGAUGUCACCUGCUUCUGGCACCUGACUUUGGUCCUCUUCUGCGUGGCAUUGCCUUCUGCUCUGCUGGAUUCUGGCGUAUGGCUCAUCAGAGGAGGCACUAACAUCAGGGCUGCCUUUUAUCUUGCUGAUCCAAGCGAGGACUAUGUAGGUGUCACAGAUGAAACUCGUCCAGAAGCCGAACAGGAUGCUAAUGGCAUGGCCACGUGUUUCCAGCACCCUGUGAGGCAGCUGGCUGGCAUCAAUCCUCUCCCCAGCUUCCAUCCCACCCCCAUCCACCCAUAAGCUCUUCUUGGGUCAGAAAUGCAAUUCUUUGAUGGUGCCAGACAGCCAGAUGAUGCUGGAAAGAAGAAAGAAAAAGAAAAAGCAGGUUUCUAAAUUAAGCACAAGGCUCGUUUAUAAAAAUAAAUAGCCACAGCCUAGCAACGUGCUCACAGCUCAGCUUUCCUCCGUAAUAAAACCUCUGUGGCUGAAGCCUGGGAUGACACAGCCUUCAGAGGGCCCCACGCCCUGGCCCUCCUCAUGCCCUGGCCUCUCCCAGGAUAAUACUCACCUGGAGAGUGCUGACAGUGGUACUUUUGGGGCCCCACUCUUCAUUCAAGGCCAACCAAAGGCCAGGCUCCAAAAAGCAGAAGGAAGGCAGAGCUUAAUGAGGCCCAUGAACACUUACAGACUCUUGGCAGUAACUAAUACACCUGUAGCAAAAGUGGUUGAAGUUCCUUGGGCUACUCUGUUGAAAUAGGAACUUCUAGUUAAGACCAUGUCUUCUUUGUUCACCAUUGAACAGUACUCAGCUAAGCACAGGGCACGUAUUGAGUACUCAACCAGUAUGUGAGGAAAGACUGGUUAGAGGUAUAAAUGAAUGAAUGAAUGUUGCCAUCCCAUUAUUGAUGCUCUCCAAACUCUUCACUACAAAUGGAGUCAGUUCCAGAAUCCAAAGCCAGCAUUCUUCUCCUGAUUAUGACAUGCACCAAAGAGGCAUCCCCUGAGCUGGAUGUUUAAAUCAGAGCCCACAGCUGAAGUGAGCACCAAGAUGUACUGAGCAAGUGUGGACUCUUACUGAUCCAAGUGGCAGCAGCAGCUUCAAGGGUGAACUGUUGCUCAGCAGAGAAAUGGCAGGAAAAAAUAGGACAUUCGCUUCUGGCCUUAGUCCUGUUGGAACACAAAAAGUGGAGUCUGCAAUGCUGUUGGAGGCUCAACAGGUCAAAUACAUCAGUAAUGGGCAUGGUAUGGCUGGGGUCAUACGGAGACAGUCCUUAGAGCACUGAAAAUGUGAUCAUCCUGAAUCCCAUAAGGAUCCUUAUGAGGUUAGAAGGGACAAUGUGGCUCCACUUUGAUGACUGACAGCAGUUGCUUUGGUGAGUUUCUACGUAUUCCCUUGUGAUCAGAGAGUGGUACAGGACAGCAUGUCAAAAUCGUAAACCACCAUCUCAGAGCAAGGCCCCUUAGUUACAAUAUUAAAAAGAUCAGAGAAAUUGGC
RNAcentral lists this long non-coding RNA (3493 nucleotides) under Homo sapiens (human). RNAcentral describes it as "HSALNT0200889". Lineage: Eukaryota; Metazoa; Chordata; Mammalia; Primates; Hominidae. The record is from RNAcentral.